GUCGCUAUAGUCUAGUCGGUCAGGAUACGUGGCUUUCACCCACGCGACCCGGGUUCGAGUCCCGGUAGCGACA
Molecule: non-coding RNA, 73 nt
Organism: Pleodorina starrii
Lineage: Eukaryota; Viridiplantae; Chlorophyta; Chlorophyceae; Chlamydomonadales; Volvocaceae
Source: the annotation of a GenBank genome assembly